CCCUGGUACAGAUAAGAAGCUGCCAAUAGAUCCAACUACAAAAACAUUUGAUUCACUCUACAGAGUAUUGAGUGUUUCAGAAAAAAAAAUCAAUGUAAAGAAGAAGAAGAUGAAGGAGAAUAUGAAGGAGAAGCAGGUUGAGGAGGAGAAGAUUGAGAUGAACAUGGAGGAGAAGAAGCAGAAUCUGGUUGAGGAUGAAGGUAGUCAACAGGAGGAAAGUGAAGAGGAGGACGGUGAAGAUGGGGAAAUUGGAGAGGAGGAAGGUGAAGAUGGGGCAAUUGGAGAUGCUAAAGUGGGGGGAGAUGGAGACAAG
Molecule: unclassified non-coding RNA, 313 nt
Filed under: Zea mays
Lineage: Eukaryota; Viridiplantae; Streptophyta; Magnoliopsida; Poales; Poaceae
Description: misc RNA Zm00001eb210230
Source: RNAcentral